UAGUUUCUCCCAAACUAAUGGAGUCCCCCUCCAUGCUGAGCUGCCAGGAGCUGGAGGAGAGAUGGCACAAGCAACCAUGUAGCCACCACCACUGGGACUGCACUGGAUCAGACCUGAAGACAACAUGUCACUUGCCCAAGGCCUACAGCAACCACUGCUUGGUAACCACCAAUGUUCCCUCAAGGCCCAGGGGCUCUACAAUCAGCAGCUGAAGAAACCCCUUUCCCUGUGGCCAGCACCACCCCAGGCUGGUGGUGAGCACUGCCUGGCUACUGCACACAGUAGCCUAAGGGCUCUUCAGUCAGCUUGUGAUGAAUGCUGCCAGACCUAAGAAUCUCCUUUCAGGAUAAUGGAUUCCCUCUGGCUUAAGGCACAGCCAUAAAACAUCCUGAGUCAUAUUAGGACAGUCCCCAUUGACUCCUUGAUGAUGGAAACAUACAGUGAAACGAGUCAGGAUUCUGAGUUUCCUGCUUGGAAGAGAGCCACCAAGGAGAGCCACUGACCAGGAACCUCCUCAUGAGACUCUGCAUGAGCAAAAAAUAAAUCUUUGUGGUAUUAAAGCUCUACAACAACUAGGUGAAAUUCAAGAGUGGACAGAAUAGAACCAUGGAGUAUUCAGUGCCAGGGAAAUGGCCAUCAGGAGCCAAGGAACAAGAAACUACUUCUGGAAAGAAGAGGCACACAGGUACGAUAUGAAAGGCAGCCCAGAAAAUG
RNAcentral lists this long non-coding RNA (714 nucleotides) under Homo sapiens (human). RNAcentral's name for it is "HSALNT0079222". The record is from RNAcentral. Lineage: Eukaryota; Metazoa; Chordata; Mammalia; Primates; Hominidae.